Molecule: ribosomal RNA, 490 nt
Filed under: uncultured bacterium
Lineage: Bacteria
Description: partial 16S ribosomal RNA
Rfam family: Bacterial small subunit ribosomal RNA
Source: RNAcentral
AUUGAACGCUGGCGGCAGGCCUAACACAUGCAAGUCGAACGGUAACAGGAAGAAGCUUGCUUCUUUGCUGACGAGUGGCGGACGGGUGAGUAAUGUCUGGGAAACUGCCUGAUGGAGGGGGAUAACUACUGGAAACGGUAGCUAAUACCGCAUAACGUCGCAAGACCAAAGAGGGGGACCUUCGGGCCUCUUGCCAUCGGAUGUGCCCAGAUGGGAUUAGCUUGUUGGUGGGUUAACGGCUCACCAAGGCGACGAUCCCUAGCUGGUCUGAGAGGAUGACCAGCCACACUGGAACUGAGACACGGUCCAGACUCCUACGGGAGGCAGCAGUGGGGAAUAUUGCACAAUGGGCGCAAGCCUGAUGCAGCCAUGCCGCGUGUAUGAAGAAGGCCUUCGGGUUGUAAAGUACUUUCAGCGGGGAGGAAGGGAGUAAAGUUAAUACCUUUGCUCAUUGACGUUACCCGCAGAAGAAGCACCGGCUAACUCCGUG